This 35-nucleotide transfer RNA is filed under the name Panthera spelaea (Eurasian cave lion). Its description in RNAcentral is "partial tRNA-Leu". The record is from RNAcentral. Lineage: Eukaryota; Metazoa; Chordata; Mammalia; Carnivora; Felidae.
UUUUAUCAUCAGAGGUUCAACUCCUCUCCCUAACA